UUUUCCCUGGAAUAAUAUUUAUUUUACGCAUCUUAUUCAAUAUCCAAAUGAUGAUUAUAAAUAUUAAAUAAAUAGUUUUGUUAGUGAUAAGUCUCAAAAUAUUUAUGACAACAUUACGAAGAUUUCAAGUGGAAUACAAUAUUUUUUGAUAUUAUCGAUUGACGCACUAUUCGAAAGACUGAAAAAAGAAUGCGAUUUUCAUUACCGCGUUGAGUCUGCUGUCGACUGUAGCCGGAGCGGGUUGGCGCGCGUUAAUGACGAUGACGGCGGCGAUGAAUCGUACAAUCGACAAAGAGGAAAUCAUUUUUAAUUUUGAUAUACAGACUUACAAGCCUUAUAAUUUUUAACCUUUUUUAUUUUGUGCGAAUAAAUUAUGUUCAAUUCAUACUUCAAAA
Rhopalosiphum padi (bird cherry-oat aphid) is the source of this 395-nucleotide long non-coding RNA. RefSeq lists it as uncharacterized. The transcript is spliced from 3 exons. NCBI's taxonomy places the organism in Eukaryota, Metazoa, Arthropoda, Insecta, Hemiptera, Aphididae. The record is from RefSeq and is a predicted model, not a curated record.